AGGCAGUGACCUCCUCCCAGGACUCCACUGUGCACAACUGUCAUACAGCUCAACACUGUUGUCCCUGGAUUACCUCGCUGCUUUGAUCUGUCACUGAAGUUGCUGUUUGUUGGCUAAUUCUCUGGCGGGUGGUUCAGAUACAAGGCCCCGAAACCUCAAGAAGGCAAGAGGUCAAAGGAUGCAACAGAGGUGAAGGAAAAGAGUCGUGGCAAAUAAACCUUACUAUGACCUCCAGAAGUCAACAAGCUCUGUUUUGAUGUUAGAAGGGAGAUGAAAAUAGAAUAUAUAUAUAAAAGAAGAAACAAAUCCAAAGAUUACUGAAAUUCAACAGUGCUUCAGAUGAUCACUCUUCAGUGAAGAAAAGGACUUUUCACUCUCGACAUAGGGCAAUGCCUUUGAAAUCGAUGAGCUUAAAUGAAGCAUAGACUGGGGACAUCUACCGUUCUCAUCACAGCUGCUGCCACAUCAUGGAGAGUAUUGCUAACACAAUGGAAGAGGAAUUAAGCUGCCCAUCUGUGCAAAGUAGGCUGUUUUGUCUGCUCACGGUUGAUUAGUGGGAGCAAAUGGACUUUUGCUAAUGUUGGGGGCACAGUUCUGGAAGAUGGAAGACCCACAUUCGAGUCCCUCCUCUUGCUGAUUAAGACCAUCACACCUUGGACGACCCGCCUUUACCGAAGAUCAGCAGCCCCGACACCAAGACAUCGCUGGAUGAGAGGUAGCCAUGGAAGGAAAUGGCUGCCCCAGUUAGAAGCUGAGAAUGAAAUGACUCCUUUUCGGCUGCAGCAUUAGAGGGGCCUUCAGUAGACCAUGUGCUACAUGAGCACUCAUCUCAGCCUUGGGAACACUCCUGGGAUGCACUUUUUUUUCUCUAUCCAACCUCCAGGUAUAGCCUCAAAUCCAGCUCUACCAUUGUCACGAGUGAAAUAAGCAUUUUUUCCAUUGCAGUUUUGUUUACAACUGCCAGAUUGCUGUUAUCACCCUUUCAGCUGGGAUUAUUCUAAUACUGGAAAAACUUCUUAGAAUUAUGUUCUCUGUGGUAAUUCAUCUUGGUUCACAAAGGGUUUUUUGAAGCUUUUGCAGGAAAAAGAAAUGGAAAUCACUGCACAGCUUACAUCACAGUUUUAGAAGAUCUUAGAGCUAGCAUUAC
This 1147-nucleotide long non-coding RNA is filed under the name Gallus gallus (chicken). Lineage: Eukaryota; Metazoa; Chordata; Aves; Galliformes; Phasianidae. The record is from RNAcentral.